AUAGAUUUAGUUAAUUAUAUAACAUAAAUUUGUCAAAUUUAAAUUAUUUUAAAAAAAUAAUCUAUU
This 66-nucleotide transfer RNA is filed under the name Passalidae sp. GENSP01. RNAcentral describes it as "tRNA-Asp". Lineage: Eukaryota; Metazoa; Arthropoda; Insecta; Coleoptera; Passalidae. The record is from RNAcentral.